CCAUGGUUUUCUAUUUUGGGUGGGGAAUAACCAGAGGGUUCAAGACCUGAAUGAAAAAAGUACAAAACGAAAGCUUUACAGAUUAAAAUAAAUUGUUUUACCUUAGGUGUUUAAAAUAGAGAAAGCACAAAUCAUAAAAGAUUAAAGAGCAAUAGUAGACCACAUUAAAUUAAACAUUUGAAUAACAAGAUUCCCAAAUAAAAACCACGGACCAGAAAAAAUGUUGAUAAUGCAUAAUAGUGUGCAGUCAACAACCCCGUGGAUAACUGGGCAAAAGACAUCAACAGGCAACUAUCAGAAGAAACCUUUAAUGUCCAGUGGCUUGAUUUCAGGGAAUUACAAAUUCAAAAAGGUGACGGGGCAGGGUGACACUGCUGUAGACACAGGGAUUACUCCCUCCCUCCCUCUCAAUGCUAUCAAAAGAUGCUCUUUGGAAAAAUUUCCCAGCAGUUGGGUGGCUUAAGGAAACUCCCAUAGUCAUGUGACUCCAGAUACUUCUGGGGCUGGUUGAAUAAAGUGGAUGUCAGCCCUGACUGGCGGCAUCCAAGUGACUGUGCUGUGGGGCUGUGGUGUGCUGUCGGGGCCAGGAGAGUUGGCAGGACUAUAAUAACCUCUCAUCAGGCCCUCUAGACAAACAGAAUUCAGGCAGUGGAUACCACUGCUCUUAAAUCAUGAGCAUUGGAUUUGGUCACAUGGAGGGCUAACAGCAUGCUGGAAAAACAAGGUCAUGCAAGUGUCAUUAUAUUGAGCCUGACUGUUUGGAGAGACUUUGUAAACUUAAAAAUUUACAUAAAAGCAUGUUGGAAAUAAUUUCAUGUGGGUGUAUCACAGACAGAGGCAUCAUUGCUCUGCAUCACUUAAGAAAACUGAAGUGUUUGCUGUUAAGUGAUCUUCCUGGACUAAGAGAAAAAGUAAACCUUGUCCAAGCCUUUGAGAUAGAACCACCUUCUCUAGAACUAAAAUUAGACUUGAAGUAAAAUAGUAACAUUCAGUAAGUGUCUUAAUUCAAAUGGAAGCAUCUACAGGUGAACGGAUAAAGAUCUGGUACUCACCAUAAAAAAGAGUGAGAUCUUGCUGUUUGCAACAACAUGGAUGGGCCUAGAGAGUAUUAUGCCCAGUGAAAUCAUUCAGACAGAGACAAGUACCAUAUGGUUUCUCUUAUAUGUGGAAUCUAAAAAAACAAAUG
This is a non-coding RNA of Callorhinus ursinus (northern fur seal), 1186 nucleotides long. The record is from RefSeq and is a predicted model, not a curated record. Lineage: Eukaryota; Metazoa; Chordata; Mammalia; Carnivora; Otariidae.